UACGUAGGGGGCGAGCGUUGUCCGGAUUUACUGGGCGUAAAGAGCGCGUAGGCGGAAAUUUAAGCGUGGCCUGAAAGCCCCCGGCUCAACCGGGGAGUGCGGCUGCGAACUGGGUUUCUUGAGGACGAUAGAGGAGAGUGGAAUUCCUGGUGUAGCGGUGAAAUGCGUAGAUAUCACACAGAACACCGAUUGCGAAGGCAGCUCACUAAGCCAAUACUGACGCUGAUGCACGAAAGCGUGGGGAGCAAACAGG
Molecule: ribosomal RNA, 253 nt
Filed under: uncultured bacterium
Lineage: Bacteria
Description: partial 16S ribosomal RNA
Rfam family: Bacterial small subunit ribosomal RNA
Source: RNAcentral